This 479-nucleotide ribosomal RNA is filed under the name uncultured bacterium. Its description in RNAcentral is "bacterial SSU rRNA". It matches the Rfam family "Bacterial small subunit ribosomal RNA", at positions 32 to 507 of the family's 1533-position model. The record is from RNAcentral.
GACAACGCUGGCGGCGUGCUUAACACAUGCAAGUCGAACGGAGCCUAUCGAAUGAAGUUUCGGAUGGAAUUUGAGAAAGCUUAGUGGCGGACGGGUGAGUAACGCGUGAGGAACCUGCCUUUCAGAGGGGGACAACAGUUGGAAACGACUGCUAAUACCGCAUGACGCAAUAGUAUCGCAUGAUACAGUUGCCAAAGAUUUAUCGCUGAAAGAUGGCCUCGCGUCUGAUUAGCUAGUUGGUGAGGUAAAUGGCUCACCAAGGCGACGAUCAGUAGCCGGCCUGAGAGGAUGAACGGCCACAUUGGGACUGAGAUACGGCCCAGACUCCUACGGGAGGCAGCAGUGGGGAAUAUUGGGCAAUGGGCGAAAGCCUGACCCAGCAACGCCGCGUGAAGGAAGAAGGCCCUCGGGUUGUAAACUUCUUUACCAGGGACGAAGAAAGUGACGGUACCUGGAGAAAAGCAACGGCUAACUACGUG